This is a long non-coding RNA of Heterocephalus glaber (naked mole-rat), 817 nucleotides long. NCBI's taxonomy places the organism in Eukaryota, Metazoa, Chordata, Mammalia, Rodentia, Bathyergidae. The record is from Ensembl.
UGUGAGCUGAUCCAAUAAAUAAUAAAUCCCCUUGGGUGGAGAUCAGGGUGGGUGUAAGAAUGUAAGACGCAGUGUUGGAAGGGAAGGUACAGUUUUCUCAACCUAUCCUUUAGUUCUAAGUUCAGAAACUGAGGCCUCACCGGUCGUGACUGGCCGGAUCUCUCCGACCUUCCUUCCGGGGAUGAAGUGCGAGUGUCCUGGAGGGAAGCUGCCCCACACCACGAAGAGCGCCCCUGCCUCCCUUCUCAGAAAGAAGACCGGAUGCAGAGGGCGGAAGUGACUCCCAGAGGUCAUUCCAGAGAUAUCACACUCACCGAGUUUACAGGCAAAAGAAGAAAAUCCCAAGAAAAGGGUGGCGGGGAGCAAAGCAAAGACAAAAUCCUUCUCCUGACUGCUUGAGCCCUGCCUAUUCCCUGAGGAUUAAACUCUGAACGCGUCCCUCACACGGAAAGGACCACAGCUUCCAGGCAAGAUGUGUGAAUGUGAGUCUUGCUCUUCUACCUUCUACCACCGCACAAUGAGGCAGGAAGCUCUCCCCAGAUGCAGCUCCUUGACUUUGGACUUGCCAGACCCCAGAACUCUAAGGAUAAAUCUCUUUUGUAAAUGAAUUACUUAAUCUCAGGUAUUCUGUAUGGCAGCAAACAAAGGACUAAGACACCGUGUGAGACUUGAUUUUCUUCAUAUACUUCAACCAAAAUAACAUCUUGUAACAGACUGAAUGAGAAGCAGAGAGAUGUGAAAAUUCAGCUAUUUUUCUACUGAGCCUGACAUUAAAGAGGUUUUCAAAAUGUAAAAGCAGUGCUGCUGUUUUCACUGA